AGGUUCCGUAGGUGAACUGCGGAAGGAUCAUUA
RNAcentral lists this ribosomal RNA (33 nucleotides) under Armillaria sp. 5 TG-2016. Its description in RNAcentral is "partial small subunit ribosomal RNA". RNAcentral also lists the same sequence under 1 other name. The record is from RNAcentral. Lineage: Eukaryota; Fungi; Basidiomycota; Agaricomycetes; Agaricales; Physalacriaceae.